UAUUUGACAGCUCAUUUGAUUGAUUUGUUUUUUCCCACGUUGCCUUCUAGGUUAGACAAAUAUGCAUGAACAUUUUUCCUAUCUCCUACGAUAGUAUUCUUGAUAGCUGCUAUAGUCUCUUCGAUUUCUAUGUUGUGCUUGAAGAUUUCAAAUUCAUCUUCCUCUGAUUGGUCUGAGUGAAGGUUCCAGGAUGAGUGAAGUCAUUGCAUGGAAAGAGAUAUGAAAGUUUGCUGCUAGGAUUUUAGGCUCUUGGCAAUUCCAAAUUCCUAAGAUCACUACGGUGCUUCCACCUCUUUCUGAUUCUGUUCGAAGGUCUAUGUGGUUCGUGACUUGCUUGGGCGCUUCAGUGUUCGUGAAAAGGUCCUGGUGUGUUAGGACUUCCUUUGGUGCUGGUGUUUCUGCUACAGCUCUGCACCCUUUUUGUUUCUUUACUGCCUUUGUCUAAGCUACUUUGCAAAUAUUCACAAAUUGUUUGGAACUAUUACCUACAUUCUUUUGGGAAUUUUAAUUCUACAGUGAUAAGAACGAGCGGCCAAGUAAAUCCAAACCUGAUAUUUGUAUUUGCACCCUGUUGUAGUUUAAAAUGCUUGCUCGAGCAUAUGAGGAUUGAGUAUGAUGGUUGGCCACCAAUUUGUUCUAGCUGAUUUAAUUUCAAUGGAACUGAACUGAUUGCAUCCAAAAGAACAUAUUUGAA
This is a long non-coding RNA of Lotus japonicus, 694 nucleotides long. RefSeq lists it as uncharacterized. The record is from RefSeq and is a predicted model, not a curated record. NCBI's taxonomy places the organism in Eukaryota, Viridiplantae, Streptophyta, Magnoliopsida, Fabales, Fabaceae. The transcript is spliced from 3 exons.